Molecule: ribosomal RNA, 538 nt
Filed under: Clostridioides difficile
Lineage: Bacteria; Bacillati; Bacillota; Clostridia; Peptostreptococcales; Peptostreptococcaceae
Description: bacterial SSU rRNA
Rfam family: Bacterial small subunit ribosomal RNA
Source: RNAcentral
UUGAAUAUCAGAGGGGGGCCGGGACCGGAUGGCGACGCGUGGGAUUAGCUAUUUGGUAGGGAGACGGGAUACCAAGGGGACNAGUAGUAGCCGACGUGGUAUGGUGAGCGGCCACAUGGGAAGUUAGACACGUUCCAAACUCCUACGGGAGGCAGCAGUGGGGAAUAUUGCACAAUGGGCGAAAGCCUGAUGCAGCUACGCCGCGUGGGUGAUGAAGGCCUUCGGGUCGUAAAACUCUGGCCGCAAGGAAGAUAAUGACGGUACUUGAGGAGGAAGCCCCGGCUAACUACGUGCCAGCAGCCGCGGUAAUACGGAGGGGGCUCGCGUUAUCCGGAUUUACUGGGCGGAACGGGUGCGCAGGCGGUCUUUCAAGUCCGGAGUGAAAGGCUACGGCCCGACCGUAGUCAGCUCUGGACACUGGGAGACUCGCGUGCAGGCGAGGAGAGUGGCAGUCAUACAGUAGCGGUGCGAAGCGUAGACAUUAGGAGGCGCUCCAGUGGCGCAGGCGGCUCUCGGGACUGUGAACGGCGAUGAGGCG